GAUACAGGGUGAUAGUCCCGUAGUUGUAGAUGCAUGUUCAGUGAAAUCGAGUAGGGCGGGACACGUGUUAUCCUGUCUGAAUAUGGGGGGACCAUCCUCCAAGGCUAAAUACUCCUGACUGACCGAUAGUGAACCAGUACCGUGAGGGAAAGGCGAAAAGAACCCCUGUGAGGGGAGUGAAAUAGAACCUGAAACCGUGUACGUACAAGCAGUAGGAGCACCUUCGUGGUGUGACUGCGUACCUUUUGUAUAAUGGGUCAGCGACUUAUAUUCAGUGGCAAGGUUAACCAUCUAGGGGAGCCGUAGGGAAACCGAGUCUUAACUGGGCGCCAUAGUCUCUGGAUAUAGACCCGAAACCGAGUGAUCUAGCCAUGGGCAGGUUGAAGGUUGAGUAACAUCAACUGGAGGACCGAACCGACUAAUGUUGAAAAAUUAGCGGAUGACUUGUGGCUAGGGGUGAAAGGCCAAUCAAACUCGGAGAUAGCUGGUUCUCCCCGAAAGCUAUUUAGGUAGCGCCUCGGACGAAUACUACUGGGGGUAGAGCACUGUUAAGGCUAGGGGGUCAUCCCGACUUACCAACCCUUUGCAAACUCCGAAUACCAGUAAGUACUAUCCGGGAGACACACGGCGGGUGCUAACGUCCGUCGUGGAGAGGGAAACAACCCAGACCGCCAGCUAAGGUCCCAAAUUACAGCUAAGUGGGAAACGAUGUGGGAAGGCUUAGACAGCUAGGAUGUUGGCUUAGAAGCAGCCAUCAUUUAAAGAAAGCGUAAUAGCUCACUAGUCGAGUCGGCCUGCGCGGAAGAUGUAACGGGGCUAAGUUGUAAACCGAAGCUGCGGCAAUGUUCUUUGAACAUUGGGUAGGGGAGCGUUCUGUAAGCCGUUGAAGGUGUGUUGUAAAGCAUGCUGGAGGUAUCAGAAGUGCGAAUGCUGACAUGAGUAACGACAAGGGGGGUGAAAAACCUCCCCGCCGGAAGACCAAGGGUUCCUGUCCAACGUUAAUCGGGGCAGGGUAAGUCGACCCCUAAGGCGAGGCCGAAAGGCGUAGUCGAUGGGAAACGGGUUAAUAUUCCCGUACUUCUUACAAUUGCGAUGGGGGGACGGAGAAGGCUAGGUGGGCCUGGCGACGGUUGUCCAGGUUCAAGUGCGUAGGCU
Molecule: ribosomal RNA, 1155 nt
Filed under: Vibrio vulnificus
Lineage: Bacteria; Pseudomonadati; Pseudomonadota; Gammaproteobacteria; Vibrionales; Vibrionaceae
Description: partial 23S ribosomal RNA
Rfam family: Bacterial large subunit ribosomal RNA
Source: RNAcentral